This 97-nucleotide ribosomal RNA is filed under the name uncultured bacterium. RNAcentral describes it as "partial 16S ribosomal RNA". It matches the Rfam family "Bacterial small subunit ribosomal RNA", at positions 1386 to 1482 of the family's 1533-position model. The record is from RNAcentral.
CACACCGCCCGUCACACCAUGGGAGUUUGUUGCACUAGAAGCAGGUAGCUUAACCGCAAGGGGGGCGCUUGCCACGGUGUGGCCGAUGACUGGGGUG